GAUGAACGCUGGCGGCGUGCCUAAUACAUGCCAGUCGAGCGAACAGAUGAGGAGCUUGCUCCUCUGACGUUAGCGGCGGACGGGUGAGUAACACGUGGAUAACCUACCUAUAAGACUGGGAUAACUUCGGGAAACCGGAGCUAAUACCGGAUAAUAUAUUGAACCGCAUGGUUCAAUAGUGAAAGACGGUUUUGCUGUCACUUAUAGAUGGAUCCGCGCCGCAUUAGCUAGUUGGUAAGGUAACGGCUUACCAAGGCAACGAUGCGUAGCCGACCUGAGAGGGUGAUCGGCCACACUGGAACUGAGACACGGUCCAGACUCCUACGGGAGGCAGCAGUAGGGAAUCUUCCGCAAUGGGCGAAAGCCUGACGGAGCAACGCCGCGUGAGUGAUGAGGGUCUUCGGAUCGUAAAACUCUGUUAUUAGGGAAGAACAAAUGUGUAAGUAACUAUGCACGUCUUGACGGUACCUAAUCAGAAAGCCACGGCUAACUACGUG
RNAcentral lists this ribosomal RNA (497 nucleotides) under uncultured bacterium. Its description in RNAcentral is "partial 16S ribosomal RNA". It matches the Rfam family "Bacterial small subunit ribosomal RNA", at positions 28 to 507 of the family's 1533-position model. The record is from RNAcentral.